CUCUUGAACAACUUCUCGCUCAACAACCAAAUCUUAAAAGAGUACACAGUCAACGUCACCACAGACUCCUUAACGUUGACUUUCAUCCCUUCGAACAGUUACUGUUAAUUAAUUUUAUGAUUUCGAUUAUGAAAUCUACACCAAGACCUAAUCUAGAUUUGAUUUAAUUCAACCCUAACACAUUUCUAAAGAAGGUAGAAGCACUAACCUUGAUCCAUGCUUAGAUGCAAUUCCACCAAUUGAUCUUCUCCUCUUUAACCUUCUCCUUUUUGGUGAUUUCCUUGAUGGACAAGAAAUCCCAAACCUUCCUUAAUCUCUCCUUUUGAUAAAUAUUAUUGUUGUGUUGUGUUUUAGAGAGACUCGUAAGAAUACGUAUCUCCAACACAUGAUGAAUGAGUCACUUUUAUAUUAAUCAAAGGGUGUGUCUUAACCAACACACCUCUUCCACACAACACUUUGAUAUUAACCGCACAAGUGCAUUAUAAUAUAUCAUCAUAUAUAUUUGACCUUAUGGUAAUAUAUUCCAUUAUUAUUACCUUUUACAUAUAUGAUCAUGAGAUUAAGGACAUUUAUAAAUAUAAGGUAAAGUAGGAGGGUUAUCAAUACACCCGGAUUCUAACUCUUUAAUAGAAACCGAUCCAUCACGGUAUCGCCUUUUAUAUUAGAAUCUAAAACAUUAAUAUGAACUUGAACUUUAUAUUAAACCAAUAGAAACAUAGGUCAUAUAGAAUAUAAAAUAUUCUUACAUUCUCCCACUUGACCUUUGUGUCGACUUAAGGGUUUAAUAACUUUAAUGUGCACUUUAAUAUCAAGUUCACUUGAUCUUUACUAAAAUUAAAACUGAUCGAAUCAUGGCGGUUGUAUGUCAUUUAAUCGGCAUAGUCCCUUCCAUGUACCACAAACCAAUUCUAACUUUAUAUUAUCCUUACAUGAGAAGAACCUUUAUUUCUCAAACCAACUAUAUGUUAUCUACGAACCAUAAGUGUAUACAUAUACUUUAAUGAUAACAUAAUUAAUAAAUCAGAAACAUAACUUUAUGUGAAUUCUCAGUGUCAAAUACAUAAUGAGCAUCCCAUAACUAAAAUAGCAAAGCCUUAUCUAUAAUACCCAUACGUUCUACAUGGCCAUUGAACGCCUUGGGUGGUAAACCUUUAGUUAGCGGAUCCGCUACCAUCAUGUCCGUCUUUAUGUGCUCGAAUGACACUCUCUGUUUCUGAACUUCUUCUUUAACAGACAGGUACUUUAACUCCAUGUUCUUAGCACCCUUCGAGUACUUGUCGUUCUUCGAAAAGAAGACAGCUGCAGAAUUAUCGCAGUAAAUUCUCAGCGGCUUGGCUAUAGUGUCGACAAUCCGAAGCCCUGAGAUAAAGUUCCGCAGCCAUAGUGCAUGAAUUGUGGCCUCAAAGCAUGCCACAAAUUCAGCCUCCAUAGUGGAAGUAGCAAUGACAGACUGCUUUCCACUCUUCCAUGAUAUUGCUCCCCCAGCUAAUAGGAACAAGUAGCCCAACGUCGAUUUUCUGCUAUCAACGCAUCCGGCAUAGUCUGAAUCUGAAUAUCCAAUGACUUCCAGCUGAUCAGAUCUCCUAUAUGUAAGCAUGCUCUCUUUGGUGCCUUGCAAGUACCUGAGAACCUUCUUUGCAGCUUUCCAGUGGUCCAUUCCGGGAUUACUUUGAUAUCGACCCAACAUUCCAACAGCAAAGUUGAUAUCAGGUCGAGUACAUGUUUGAACAUAGUUCAAACUCCCAACCACCGAUGCAUAGGGAAUUCUUUCCAUUUCUUUACGCUCCAAUUCAUUUUUAGGACAUUGCAUUUUACUGAACUUGUCCCCCUUCUGAAUUGGAGUUAUUCCUGCAGAGCAUUUCUCCAUUUUAUAUCUCUUUAAGAUCUUAUUGAUAUAUCCUUCCUGAGACAAACUUAACAGUCCUUGUGAUCUAUCUCGAAAUAUUUCUAUCCCGAUCACAUAAGAUGCCUCACCCAUAUCUUUCAUUUCAAAGUUCUUAGAGAGAUACUUCUUCACAUCAUGUAACAUACCCAUGUCAUUUGCAGCAAGUAAAAUAUCAUCAACAUAUAGGACUAAAAUCACAAACUUACUCCCACUGAUCUUAAUGUAGAUACAUCGAUCAACAAUGAUCUCUACAAAACCAUAUGAAGUGAUGGUAUCAUUAAACUUUAUAUACCAUUGUCGAGAAGCUUGUUUUAGUCCAUAUAUUGACCUUCUCAGCUUACACACCAAAUUUUCUUUUCCUGCGACCACGAAUCCUUCAGGUUGGUCCAUAUAUACUUCCUCCUCAAGAUCUCCAUUCAGAAAGGCGGUUUUCACAUCCAUCUGGUGAAGCUCAAGAUCAUAAUGAGUCACCAAAGCCAAAACAAUUCUAAGAGAAUCCUUCUUUGAAACCGGAGAGAAGGUCUCUUUAUAGUCAAUGCCAUCUUUCUGGGUGAAACCUUUAGCAACAAGGCGAGACUUGCGUCUUUCAGGUUUACCUUUCGAGUCAUGUUUAGUCUUAUAGACCCAUUUACAACCAAUGGUUUUGAAACCAUCAGGCAACUCUACUAAGUCCCAUACAUGAUUAUCAUCCAUAGAUUUCAUUUCUUCUUUUGAGGCAUCAAACCACUCUUCAGAAUUGUCACUUUCCAUGGCCAUUUUGAAUGAGAUCGGAUCGUCAUCGAUGCUUAUGUCACAUUCAUUUUCAAUAGUGUAAACCACGUAAUCGUUUGAAAUAGCGGAUCUUCUUUCUCUUCCAGAUCGCCUUAAAGGUAUUUGUGGUUCACUAUUCUCUUCUUGAAUUAUGACAUGUUCAUCAACAGUAUUUUCAGCUAGUAGGAUUGGCUCAUCAUUAUGUUGUCCUAUUGUGUCAUUAGAGUCUGAUGCAACAAUAGGAACAACUACUUCAGGUGGAACUACAGGUGAAGGAACUUCAACCUGAAUUUCAUUAAUGUCCACUUUUCGUGGUUCACCACUCCCACUAGUUUCACCGUUUUCAAUGAACCUAGCAUUACCCGAAUCAACUAUUCUCGUACUAUGGUUAGGACAAUAAAAUGUAUACCCCUUUGAUUUUUCAGGAUAGCCAAUGAAAAAUCCACUGACAGUCCUAGAAUCAAGUUUCUUUUCAUGUGGAUUAUAUAGCCUUACUUCUGCUGGACAACCCCACACACGUAGAUGUCUUAAACUAGGUUUCUUUCCCGUCCACAGCUCAUAAGGAGUCUUAGGAACUGCCUUACUAGGAACCCGGUUCAGCAAAUAUGUUGCAGUUCUUAAUGCAUAUAUCCACAAAGAAAGGGGUAAUGAGCAAUUACUCAACAUGCUCCUAACCAUCUCUAUUAAGGUACGGUUCCGCCUCUCAGCUACACCGUUUUGCUGAGGAGUACCAGGCAUUGUGUAUUGCGCACAUAUGCCUCUACUUUCAAGUAACUUUGCAAAUGGACCAGGACAUUGUCCACUUUCAUCGAAUUUUCCAUAAAAUUCACCACCUCUGUCAGAUCUCACUAUUUUAACCUUUUUAUCUAACUGCCUUUCCACCUCAUCAAUGAAUAUUUCUAGAACAUUCACAGACUUAGACUUUUCAUGCAGUAGAUAGGUAUAUCCAUACCGUGAGUAAUCAUCAAUAAAUGUGAUGAAAUAUUUUUCGCCACUCCAUGAUGGAGCAUCAAAAGGGCCACAUAUAUCGGUGUGUAUUAACUCAAGAAGUUGAGUGCUUCUUGUGGCUGGUUUCUUUAAAGUAUGUUUCGUCUGCUUUCCCUUAAUGCAGUCUAUGCAUACAUCUAAGUCACUGAAAUCCAACUGAGGAAGAAUUUCAUUCUUUAUUAACCUCUUAAUUCUUUCUUUGGAAAUAUGACCUAGUCGUUGAUGCCACAAGAAAGCAGAACUUUCAUUAAUUGCGCUACGCUUAAUGCCUCGACUUUCAACAUUAAAUAGGGAUUCAGAAAACUUUGCAUCAAGGUUGAACUUAUAAAGUGAAUCAAAUAAAAUACCACUACCAUAAAAGUAAUCAUUUCGGUACAAUGUGAAAACACCAUGUGCAACCUUAAUACUAAAACCUAAAUUGUCCAACCUACUAACAGAAACAAGAUUUCUAGCACACUCAGGUACAUAGAGACACCCUUCAAGAUCCACAUGACUUCCAGUGUCCAAGAUCAAUCUAUACGUCCCAAUUCCUUCUAUUUGUGCCUUCAUCCUGUUUCCCAUGAACAAGUACUGUUCAGGUCCUCUUAUGGGUUGGAUCGAACUGAAUCCCUGUUUAAUAUGAGACACGUGAGUAGUAGCACCAGAAUCUAACCACCAAGUAUUAUUAGGAACUUCAACAAGAUUCAUUUCAUAGCAAACAAAGCUGUAAUGUUUACCUUUCUUGUCGAACCAAUCCUUCCUUUUAGGACAAUCCUUCUUGAAGUGUCCUACUUGCUUACAAAAGAAACACUUCUUUUCCUUCUGGAUUUGACUUUGAGGUCCUUUCACGAAGUUUUUAGCAUUCCUUUUGCCUUUCCUACUUGAUGUUCUUUUGCUGCUACUGGCACUUCCAAGACCUACGAGGUUAGCAACUUGUUCUUUCAUCUUCCUUAGUCUCCCCUCUUCUUGAAUUAGCAUAGCCUUUAAUUCCUUAAAGUUCCAUUUAUCCUUAAUGGUGUUGUAAUUCACCUGGAACUGGCUAAAUUCAAGGGGUAGAGAGUUCAUGAUGAAUUGGACCAAGAAUUGCUCAUGUACCUCCAUUCCCAAGGUCAUUAACUUUGCUGCCAGAUUAGACAUAUGCGUCAAAUGAUCAUGGAUUGGCUGAGACCAGUCAAACUUCUUUGUAGUUAGCUCAUUCAUGAGACUUCCUACAAUCGACUUGUCAGCCAAUUCAGAUUCUGAACACUCCUUAAUUUUCUCUAGGAAUUCCCUUGCUUUCUCUGUCUUAGGCAUUGAUGGUUUAAUACUUUCUGCCAUCGUCAACCUCAUAAGGUUCAAGCUCAGCCUGUUAGAUCGCUCCCAUCUCUCAUAACGAGACUUUUCAGAUUCGGAGCUAUCUACUGUAAUAGCUGAGGGUUCCUCAUCAGUUAGUAUGGCAGAGUCCAAAGCCAUUACACCCAGUGUAAACCGGAUUUGCUCGAACCACUCACCAUAGUUGAGGCCAUUAAACUUUACCACAGAGUUAGCAGAUGCAAACACAUUUGAUGUAGCUGCAAGCAUUCAUACAUGUUUACCCGUUAGUGCUUUGAAACUUUAAUAUAUAUUCAGACUAAUAGAAACUUUAACACUUGUAUUUUAAAUAACCUUUGGGCAAUAUUUAAAUACAAGUACUUUCAGUGAUGCUAGUAAUAAAUACUUUAAUAUUAAUCAAAUCAAACACUAAUCAAAUAAGUAUGUUAUCUUUGGAUAUACAUAUUAUCGACUAUAGUAAGAAAUGAUUAAUUCUUUUAUUAUUAUUAAUCAUAUUCAAUGAUCCACCUUUGGGUGAUCUCCUAGAAUAUAAAUAAUAAAUUAAUUGAUUGAUCAAAUUUUUAUGUCAUUUAGCAUCCUUGAUCUUGAUCAAUUAUAAACUCUAUAAUUAUUUUUAAUAUUUAUAUGUCAUAUAACAAGGUCACUUUGGCGACUAUCAUAUUAUAUACAUAUAAACAUUAAAAUAUCUAAGGGAAAACUACUUAAAUUGUGUUAAUAUUUCAUAACACAAUUACUUGAUCAUUAAAAUGCAGCGGAAGCAUUUUUUUUUUUUUAUAACUAUAAUAAAAUAAACUUCAGUUAAGUAUAUAUUUAUUCAUGCCUUUUCGUGACAUGUUCAAUGUUACUGGCGAGCGAACCAUUAACCGAAACAUGACAACAACAACUUAAUGCAUCUUGUUUAAUUUAAAUAUUCAUUUAGUUUGAUAGAUAAUUCACGUGUAUACAACACACUAAAUGAAUUGCCAUAUGCUAACGUCAUGCAUAUGAAAUUCCAGACACGUAAAGCUUAUGGCAUCGUAAAUCAUUACGAGAAUAACGUACUUGAUCUUCUGAUACCAAAUCAUUAUAUACAUUCUUUUCUCUUACGAUGCCUUACUUUAAGGCCAAAUUAAUUACUGUGAUUUAAAACAAAUCUCAUGAACACUCUUUAAAACGGUUGAUACCGUAUAUGUUCAUGAACAAAAAAAAAAAAAAAAUUUAUUCUAGAUUAAAAAAAAUUAAUUUAUGCAUGUGCCUUAAUGAUUACAACCGUAAACACUACCGCAUGAUGCAAAAGACAAACUCACGAAUGCACAUGUUGACAAAAUUCCAGAAUCACUUAAUCAUGCAUGCUACGUUAGUUACUUCUAAACAAUUACGAACAAACGCGACUUUCUAAUGCAUUCCAGAAUUUCUAACGCAAUGACGAUCAUGAACACACGCUUGAGAAUUACCGAUACGUUUAAGUGUUUGACGCCAUACGUUCAGUAACGGUGAAUUAAACAAAUCUAGUUGGCUCUGAUACCACAUGUUAAUUAAUUUUAUGAUUUCGAUUAUGAAAUCUACACCAAGACCUAAUCUAGAUUUGAUUUAAUUCAACCCUAACACAUUUCUAAAGAAGGUAGAAGCACUAACCUUGAUCCAUGCUUAGAUGCAAUUCCACCAAUUGAUCUUCUCCUCUUUAACCUUCUCCUUUUUGGUGAUUUCCUUGAUGGACAAGAAAUCCCAAACCUUCCUUAAUCUCUCCUUUUGAUAAAUAUUAUUGUUGUGUUGUGUUUUAGAGAGACUCGUAAGAAUACGUAUCUCCAACACAUGAUGAAUGAGUCACUUUUAUAUUAAUCAAAGGGUGUGUCUUAACCAACACACCUCUUCCACACAACACUUUGAUAUUAACCGCAC
This 6790-nucleotide long non-coding RNA is filed under the name Brassica rapa (field mustard). Its description in RNAcentral is "long non-coding RNA (BRAP_LNC001787)". The record is from RNAcentral. Lineage: Eukaryota; Viridiplantae; Streptophyta; Magnoliopsida; Brassicales; Brassicaceae.